Long non-coding RNA from Corapipo altera (White-ruffed manakin), 308 nucleotides. RefSeq lists it as uncharacterized. The record is from RefSeq and is a predicted model, not a curated record. The transcript is spliced from 3 exons. Lineage: Eukaryota; Metazoa; Chordata; Aves; Passeriformes; Pipridae.
AUUAACUGUGUCAUCCUUUCGGGAUGUGAAAACCCGGCGCAGUUCUGUGCGGAAGGACAAGGAACGGGAGACCAAACAUAUCUUUGCUCGAUAAGCCCAAGUUCUGAUGAAGUGUCCCACAGACCUGUGACUACCACCACAGUCAGCAGGUUCAGCCAGCACCUGUGCAGACCCUGGGCCUCCACACUGUCAAGAAAUUGCAUUUUCCUGUGAAAUGCUGCACAAUCCGAACAGCGCUAUAGGUGAGAGUCCCCAAAGGGAAUCAUGAGUAUGAAGGAAAAUGACCCUGUGGACAUAUCCAACACAUU